CUAAGGAUACUUCUUUUAGAGAAGACGGAAUCUUGCAUUGGUUGCUUUUGCUUUGUUUAGUUUUGAGAGGUUUACUCUCAAUUGGAUCCUUGAAAACUGGAUAGUGUAUGAAAAGACAACAAAAACCGAGAAACACGAGUUGAAUCAACGAAGUUUGAUUCGAUCAUCAUGUAACAAAUCGACCAGCAAU
This 190-nucleotide unclassified non-coding RNA is filed under the name uncultured bacterium. RNAcentral's name for it is "16S-23S ribosomal RNA intergenic spacer". The record is from RNAcentral.